This 495-nucleotide long non-coding RNA is filed under the name Erythranthe guttata (spotted monkey flower). RNAcentral describes it as "long non-coding RNA (EGUT_LNC000269)". The record is from RNAcentral. Lineage: Eukaryota; Viridiplantae; Streptophyta; Magnoliopsida; Lamiales; Phrymaceae.
GAAGAUAUUAGGUGGGAGUUUCGCACCAGUAAUAGGUACUCUGGAGUGAGUUGGGAUCCUACUGGAGGUACGUCUCCUACGCCAUAUUCAACAGGAGGGUGAUUGAACUUCCAUAGCUUUAGAAGAAGAGCAAAAGCAUUUGAAAACACAGCGUGGGCUGAUAUUUCUUCUCCUGUGGUCAGGGUCCAUGAGAUAUUCGGCACGCAUGAACCGAAAACCUCACAUAUUGUCAUUAAUGAACCAGCAAGCUCUGGAACCUGUUGAAGAUAAUGUCUCCAUUAGAUGAAGGUGAAUCGCUUUUUCGCACUCCCUCAUAAACAUUUCAUGGAUCGUAGAACUAUAUUUGAAGCAUUUCUUGAUCUUACAUGUUCUUUUAUUUCGAUUGUAAAUAAAUCAGGGCUCAUCGCAAAAUAGAACCUACAUAUAAUGUUGAUAAAUAUAGCGUAAAAGUGAACAUACCAAACCAUGGAGGGAGAAAAUCUGAACACAGUCAAC